CCAAUCGCGUAUAUUAAAGUUGUUGCAGUUAAAAAGCUCGUCGUUGAAUUUCGGGAUUGGCGCAUCGGUCGUGCCUCACGGGGUAUGAACUGGUGCAGUCAAUUUCUCACCUUCUGGAGAACCGCGAUGUCCUUAAUUGGAUGCCGCGGGGAACCAGGACCUUUACUUUGAAAAAAUUAGAGUGUUUAAAGCAGGCAUUUUUGCUUGAAUACAUUAGCAUGGAAUAAUAAAAUAGGACGGCAUGGUUCUAUUUUGUUGGUUUCUAGGACCACCGUAAUGAUUAAUAGGGAUAGUUGGGGGCAUUAGUAUUCAAUUGUCAGAGGUGAAAUUCUUGGAUUUAUUGAAGACUAACUACUGCGAAAGCAUUUGCCAAGGAUGUUUUCAUUAAUCAAGAACGAAAGUUAGGGGAUCGAAGACGAUCAGAUACCGUCGUAGUCUUAACCAUAAACUAUGCCGACUAGGAAUCAGACGAUGUUAAUUUUUUAAUGACUCGUUUGGCACCUUACG
Molecule: ribosomal RNA, 507 nt
Filed under: uncultured Glomeromycotina
Lineage: Eukaryota; Fungi; Glomeromycota
Description: partial small subunit ribosomal RNA
Rfam family: Eukaryotic small subunit ribosomal RNA
Source: RNAcentral